UCCGAGGGGGGCGAGCGUUGUUCGGAAUUAUUGGGCGUAAAGGGUGCGUAGGCGGUUUGGUAAGUCUUGUGUGAAAUCUCCAGGCUCAACUUGGAGUCUGCACGAGAAACUGCCGGGCUUGAGUGUGGGAGAGGUGAGUGGAAUUCCUGGUGUAGCGGUGAAAUGCGUAGAGAUAUGGAGGAACACCAGUGGCGAAGGCAGCUCGCUGGGACGGUACUGACGCUGAGACGCGAAAGCGUGGGGAGCAAACGGG
This 253-nucleotide ribosomal RNA is filed under the name uncultured bacterium. Its description in RNAcentral is "partial 16S ribosomal RNA". It matches the Rfam family "Bacterial small subunit ribosomal RNA", at positions 524 to 776 of the family's 1533-position model. The record is from RNAcentral.